Molecule: long non-coding RNA, 859 nt
Organism: Polypterus senegalus (gray bichir)
Lineage: Eukaryota; Metazoa; Chordata; Cladistia; Polypteriformes; Polypteridae
Exons: 4
Source: RefSeq, a predicted model, not a curated record
UAAACAACUAAUCUGGGACUCUCGGUACAUUAGCUUCUGAUGAUUCAACAAAGACCUUCGUCAGUCAUCUAAUGUUUAUUAUUGCUGAAGUCUGUUCUUUUUGUGUAUGACUGGAUUCCUUGCUGUAUUGGAACCACGAAUGCUCCCAGAAAUGGUCAAGAUAAAAAUGGGAAAAACUGUCUUUUGGAAAUUCAAUAUGGUUAACAUACAAUACAUGAUGAGACAAAACGAUAUAGUCUUGGACAAAAGCUGUAAUCUGCCAGCACAAAAGAUCCCAAACUCUGGCCCAGUACAUUCUACCUUCCUGCCUAUUAAGCAGUCUUUCAUGGCAAACUGAACACAAAGCAGUGGGGAGACGAGACCAGCCACGGGAAAACCAGUCUGACUCAACCUUGAAGAUGUCACUUGCAAUUCUGGCACCUAGGAUGAUGUCACUUCGGGCACCUAGGAUGGUGUCACUUCGGGCACCUAGGAUGGUGUCACUUCUGGUUCUGGUGUCGCGAUUGAUGUCAGAAGAAGGUCACUUCUGGUUCCCCUACGUCACUUCUGGUCUGAUUAUUCAAAACCACCAUCUUUACAAACCAUCAUCAGUUCAUUUUUGGGACUCCAACCAAGAAACUUGUCAGAAUUCAACCCAUUGCAGCCAGGGAUAAUAUAUGGGUGGCUAUCCCAAACCUUUUUAUGUGUGUCAAGUCUGAUCGUUUUUACAAAUGACAGAAAGAAUGAGCUUUAUAUAUUUCACAGAGACAUAUCUCCAUGCAUUGACCACUAAGUGAGUGGUAGCGUGAUUUUCCAGUCACAGCUUCUGCUCUUCCUGGGACACCCUAACAAAGUCUAAUUGUCUGCAUUUUGAUUGUCU